CUGGAGAGUAACGCAUGCAUUUAAAUUCAGGGGCAUCAGAACACUGAGGACUCUCACUCUUCCUGCUCCAGAGGAAGAGGGCUAUAAACGCUUGAAAAAACACAGUUGGGAGAAUAAUUGGAAGUGAAUUCGAUGUCUUCAUCCUCUGAGGAUGCGAGUGCAUGUGCCUGCUGGAAAUUACUCUUUCACAAAAUGUGUAUGUCUCUGGAUUUGAGCUUCCCUGGGCUGUGGGGAGCCUGAUACCAUGUUUCCAUUAUUAUAAAACCUUACUAUAAAAAUAGGCUUUAUGACUUCUGGAAACUCUAACUUCUGGAAACUCUAGACGUAGCCUUGAAGGCAAGAUGGUAGCUCAGGUAGGUAUUCUUUAGCAGUGACUACAGNNNNNNNNNNCUCUCUCUCUCUCUCUCUCUCUCUCUCUCUCUCUCUCUCUCUCUCUCUCUGUCCCCCUGCCCACUGAAUCCCUUGACGGUCUCAUUCAUGCUCAGACCCUGUCCCAUUCUCUGCUGGACUUGACAACUUAGUUGAGCCAAGAUUGGAGCACUAACUGCAGGUGAUUUGGAUAACUUUCUUUAAGGAUGGGUCUUAAGGGUGGGGGUGGGUUAUUUACUGUAUUAACAUAUGCCUAGUAUCCCAAUUUCUGUCUGAAAAGGACUAGAAAAGUAUGGUCUCAAAUUCGGGUUUAAGUUUCCAUCAGCGUGAUUGGGUAGUAAUUGAAGAUUAAACUACUAUAGACUAGGUGCUCACAAAGCAACUACACAAGCCGCACAUUCCCUGCUCCAAACCAUCCUGAUAACUAGAAGUUGGAACAGUUGCACUUAAAAGACUCCUGGGGGAAAGGCACAUGGGCAGUGUUGCUUGCUCUUUGCUGCAAGCAAAACAAGCUCUGGUCAUUUAAAUGCCAGCCUGUCGGUACAGGCCUACCAGUGCAAUCCUAAGCCAAAACU
This 944-nucleotide long non-coding RNA is filed under the name Mus spicilegus (steppe mouse). RNAcentral describes it as "lncRNA (ENSMSIG00000026552.1)". Lineage: Eukaryota; Metazoa; Chordata; Mammalia; Rodentia; Muridae. The record is from RNAcentral.